RNAcentral lists this ribosomal RNA (792 nucleotides) under Metahaliotrema mizellei. Its description in RNAcentral is "eukaryotic LSU rRNA". It matches the Rfam family "Eukaryotic large subunit ribosomal RNA", at positions 71 to 634 of the family's 3401-position model. Lineage: Eukaryota; Metazoa; Platyhelminthes; Monogenea; Dactylogyridea; Ancyrocephalidae. The record is from RNAcentral.
AGGAUUCUCCCAGUAACGGCGAGUGAACGGAGAUUAGCCCAUCACCGAAGACUGGCAUUCUUAUGCACAAGUCAAUGUGGUGUUUAGGCUUGUGCCUGGGAUUGAGCACCUGCCCGAAGUCCAAUCUCGAUUGUGGCAUUGGAUAUUCCCCAGAGAGGGUGAAAGGCCCUUCCGGGUAGGCUAUUGUGUUCGAAUGCUCAGUCCUCAGACGCGCAGGCUAUCGAGUCGGAUUGCUUGAGAAUGCAGUCCAAAGUGGGUGGUAAACUCCAUCCAAGGCUAAAUACUGGCACGAGUCCGAUAGUAGACAAGUACCGUGAGGGAAAGUUGAAAAGUACUCUGAAGAGAGAGUUAAUAGUACGUGAAGCCAAAUUCAGGGAAGCUGGUGGAGUCAAGCUUCGUGCUUGAGGAAUUGUGGCGGGCAUUUAUUGAUUGUGAUUAUGGGUGCUCGACUGGUCAAUAUGGAAAUUAUUGGGCACAUUCGUGUGCUUCAAGACAUCUCCGGGUUGUGUGUUUGCGGCCAGUUGUAGUGCUCUAAUGCCCGUUACCUAUUCUUCAUUUUGCACAGAUCAUGGUCAAUGAUCACGCGCUAUAUGAUGGUCUAAUGGUGUUUUGGUGAGCUUUCAGUUUGCCAGUCACUUGACGGCAGGUGUCAUUCGUCGAGCGUCAGCUUGUCGAUAUGAUUAUAUUGUUUUCGAACUGCCGGUCAUCGUGUAUGUGUCGUUGGUUAUUGUUCUUCAAUGGUUCAGUCGUAGCGAUACGGCUGGCCAGUAAGAACCAUGAUCCUGAGGUAGA